CAUGCCUACUGAUGGAAACUCAGGAAACAUGUGCCCACAUGGUCAUUAUUGUCCGAAUGGAAGCGCUCAACCUCUGCCAUGUGAUCUGGGGACAUUUAUGUCUGCCACACAGGCCUCUCAGUGCUGGCCCUGCACGGCUGGAUGGUACUGUGUGGAUGGGGCUCGCUUACCAUGUCCACAAGGUUUUUACUGUCCAGAGGGGACGGCUUAUGAGUGGAAAGCUUGUCCACCAGGCACUUACAGCCCAGACUCUGGCCUGAGUGAGCUCUCCCAGUGCAUGGAGUGUGAUGGAGGACACUACUGCUCUUACCAGAAUGCUACAUCUGUCUCUGGACUGUGCUCUGCAGGAUAUUACUGCAUACGUGGAAACACCUCACCGCAGCCACUCACCUUGUCCACAGGAGAUGGUGGACCUUGUCCUGCAGGUCAUUUCUGUCUAGAAGGCACCAGGGACCCCCAGCCUUGUCCAGCGGGGACGUUUAGUAAUAGAACCAAAUUAACUUCAGAGGACGAGUGUGUUCCCUGUUCUCCUGGUCAUUACUGUGACACACCUGGGCUGACUGCUCCCAAAGGGGAAUGUUGGGAGGGUUUCUACUGCAGCCAAGGAGCUUUGCUGCCCAAUUCUUUAAUCAGGGACCACAGAGGAGGGCCAUGUCCUGCAGGUUAUUUUUGUCCUAGAGGGUCCAGUGUGCCUCAGUCCUGUCCACAAGGAUCCAUCAGCAACAAUGAGGGCCAAGCCAGCUGCAGCCCCUGUCCCCGCGGGUAC
Ictalurus punctatus (channel catfish) is the source of this 766-nucleotide long non-coding RNA. NCBI's taxonomy places the organism in Eukaryota, Metazoa, Chordata, Actinopteri, Siluriformes, Ictaluridae. The record is from Ensembl.